UGCAAGGGCACUCUGUGUUCAACAUAAUAAAUAUGUGAAUAACAAUUUGUUACCUUGCUAUAUAAAAUCUAUUAAUCCUAUUCCAAAUAAUUCGUUAUGAUUAUUUGGUCAUAAUGAUAGAGACAAUUC
This is a small nucleolar RNA of Danaus plexippus plexippus, 129 nucleotides long. It matches the Rfam family "Small nucleolar RNA psi18S-841/snoR66". From Rfam's summary of the family: psi18S-841 is a member of the H/ACA class of snoRNA. Lineage: Eukaryota; Metazoa; Arthropoda; Insecta; Lepidoptera; Nymphalidae. The record is from Rfam.